This 253-nucleotide ribosomal RNA is filed under the name uncultured bacterium. RNAcentral's name for it is "partial 16S ribosomal RNA". It matches the Rfam family "Bacterial small subunit ribosomal RNA", at positions 524 to 776 of the family's 1533-position model. The record is from RNAcentral.
UACGUAGGUGGCAAGCGUUGUCCGGAUUUACUGGGCGUAAAGAGCGCGCAGGCGGUCGGAUAAGUCGAGUGUGAAAGCCCCCGGCUCAACUGGGGAGGGUCAUUCGAUACUGAUCGACUCGAAGGCAGGAGAGGGUAGUGGAAUUCCCGGUGUAGUGGUGAAAUGCGUAGAUAUCGGGAGGAACACCAGUGGCGAAGGCGACUACCUGGCCUGUUCUUGACGCUGAGGCGCGAAAGCUAGGGGAGCAAACGGG